This 497-nucleotide ribosomal RNA is filed under the name uncultured bacterium. RNAcentral describes it as "partial 16S ribosomal RNA". It matches the Rfam family "Bacterial small subunit ribosomal RNA", at positions 28 to 507 of the family's 1533-position model. The record is from RNAcentral.
GAUGAACGCUGGCGGCGUGCCUAAUACAUGCAAGUCGAGCGAACAGACGAGGAGCUUGCUCCUCUGACGUUAGCGGCGGACGGGUGAGUAACACGUGGAUAACCUACCUAUAAGACUGGGAUAACUUCGGGAAACCGGAGCUAAUACCGGAUAAUAUAUUAAACCGCAUGGUUCAAUAGUGAAAGACGGUUUUGCUGUCACUUAUAGAUGGAUCCGCGCCGCAUUAGCUAGUUGGUAAGGUAACGGCUUACCAAGGCAACGAUGCGUAGCCGACCUGAGAGGGUGAUCGGCCACACUGGAACUGAGACACGGUCCAGACUCCUACGGGAGGCAGCAGUAGGGAAUCUUCCGCAAUGGGCGAAAGCCUGACGGAGCAACGCCGCGUGAGUGAUGAAGGUCUUCGGAUCGUAAAACUCUGUUAUUAGGGAAGAACAAAUGUGUAAGUAACUAUGCACGUCUUGGCGGUACCUAAUCAGAAAGCCACGGCUAACUACGUG